GAACACCGGUUCUCGUACGAUCACAGAUGUUAAGCAACGUCAAGCCUGGUCAGUAACUAGAUGGAUGACCGCUUUGAAAUACCAGGUGUUGUAA
Non-coding RNA from Acanthosepion pharaonis, 94 nucleotides. The record is from the annotation of a GenBank genome assembly. Lineage: Eukaryota; Metazoa; Mollusca; Cephalopoda; Sepiida; Sepiidae.